AUACCUAGUUGCUUCGGCGGCGCGCCUCCGGGCGUGCCCGCCGGCCAAUUAUAGUCUCUUAGUUGUGAAUCGACGUUACAUCUGAGUGUUCUAAGCGAACUGUUAAAACUUUCAACAACGGAUCUCUUGGCUCCAGCAUCGAUGAAGAACGCAGCGAAACGCGAUAUGUAGUGUGAAUUGCAGAAUUCAGUGAAUCAUCGAAUCUUUGAACGCACAUUGCGCCUUCCAGUAUCCUGGGAGGCAUGCCUGUCCGAGCGUCGUUUCAACCCUCGAGCCCCCGUGGCCCGGUGUUGGGGACGCUGCCCAGCUACCUGGGCAGCCCCCCUAAAUGCAGUGGCGGUCCCGCAAGUCCCAGCCCUUUGCGUAGUAAUAUCAUUCUCGCUCUGGACGGCUCGCGGGCUUACCAGCCUCGAAACCCCCUACAAAGACCGCCCCGG
RNAcentral lists this ribosomal RNA (437 nucleotides) under Nectria inventa. RNAcentral's name for it is "eukaryotic LSU rRNA". The stretch from base 107 to 260 matches the Rfam family "5.8S ribosomal RNA". The record is from RNAcentral. Lineage: Eukaryota; Fungi; Ascomycota; Sordariomycetes; Hypocreales; Nectriaceae.